Long non-coding RNA from Daphnia pulex (common water flea), 1268 nucleotides. RefSeq lists it as uncharacterized. The transcript has 4 exons. NCBI's taxonomy places the organism in Eukaryota, Metazoa, Arthropoda, Branchiopoda, Diplostraca, Daphniidae. The record is from RefSeq and is a predicted model, not a curated record.
AAAACGUUUUUCGUCACCCGCCACCCGCCAGUAACUUUUUUUUCCCGGAGUGAUUACCUUUUCAUCAAUUAGGUAUUGAGUGUACAAGCAAGAGAUUUGCUUUUUUAGAAAGAUUACCAAAAACUGUGUUGAAGAGGAAAGACUUUAUGUGUUACAAUUGAAAGAGCCAUUGAAAUGGUUUUAAAAGAAGUAAGAAGAGUUACCAAUGUGUGAAUCCCAUUUUAUAUACCAAGAAGAAGUCUGUAAAGCUACAUUGACAGAAAGAAGAAGGGAAUUUCUUCAAUUAUUGGAACAGAUAUCUAGAAAAAGUGCCUGCAAACUUAAAUGUGGUUUCUCCAGGUUUUACCAGGUUUUCAUAGAUGAAGAAAGGACUAUACUAGUUCAUUGUUUCCAUCGAUCAGCAGACAUUUAUGUUUUCCUGUCCUGUGUAAGAAAGCUUUCAAUUUACGCCCACAAUGAAUCUCCAAUUACCACUAACCAACAUCGACAAAACUUUAGCUAGGGUAGACUUGUUGACUCAGGAGGUUUUAACCAGAAGUUGGAGUACAGUGUCUCAUUUACACACCACAGAAGAAUCGUGUUAUGCUUAAAAACAAGAUUAAUUCAGUGUAUGUUUUUAAAAGUUGGUUUAUUGGUUCAUGGGUUUUGUGAAAACAUUUUGUGUGUGUGUGUAGCAUGUCCCAAAUGCUGUGUAAAAAUGCAAUGCCAACUUGCCCCAAUUCAUUAGGCAACUUACCCCGUAGUUGGGGCAAGUUGCCCAUUUUAGGUGUCGCAUUAAAACGAAUUUUUUGGCAUAAAUUUUUCCUUUUCUUAGAAUUUUUUGACGCUUAUUUUUAGUUAAGAUAAUAAGGUUUCAUUUAAGCUAAAACUUUUAUCAUUACAAUGAAAAUUACGACUCCCAGGAGCGGGUGUGUGAAAAAUGGCCUACUAGCCCCGGUCUCCCCUAUAAGCUACAUUAUAUCUGAAUUUUUGUUUUAUUUUUUAAUUUGCCCGAUUGAAUAAUAGAUAAUAGGUUUGAUGCAGGUUUACGGAGCUAUUAUUUUACAUUUGGUUUUAAGGUUAGGUUUGAUUGCAAGUUAGAUUUGAUAAAUCUAAUAUCCCAGAUUGAUGUUAAAUGAUAGGUUUGUUGUUAAAAAGGUACAACGGCACCCCAUAAUAGGCCUACAUGCGAAUGGAAAAUUUUACAAAAACCAUGAAUGACAAUAAGAAAAAUAUAGGCUAAAAUAAAAAUAUGCAUUGCGACGACAUCAGAUUGAUUUAAACAUUUA